CGGGGUAUAGCGCAGUCUGGUAGCGCACUACACUGGGGGUGUAGUGGUCGCAGGUUCAAAUCCUGCUACUCCGACCA
RNAcentral lists this transfer RNA (77 nucleotides) under Sinobacterium norvegicum. RNAcentral describes it as "tRNA-Pro". It matches the Rfam family "tRNA". From Rfam's summary of the family: Transfer RNA (tRNA) molecules are approximately 80 nucleotides in length. Their secondary structure includes four short double-helical elements and three loops (D, anti-codon, and T loops). Further hydrogen bonds mediate the characteristic L-shaped molecular structure. tRNAs have two regions of fundamental functional importance: the anti-codon, which is responsible for specific mRNA codon recognition, and the 3' end, to which the tRNAs corresponding amino acid is attached (by aminoacyl-tRNA synthetases). tRNAs cope with the degeneracy of the genetic code in two manners: having more than one tRNA (with a specific anti-codon) for a particular amino acid; and 'wobble' base-pairing, i.e. permitting non-standard base-pairing at the 3rd anti-codon position. Lineage: Bacteria; Pseudomonadati; Pseudomonadota; Gammaproteobacteria; Cellvibrionales; Spongiibacteraceae. The record is from RNAcentral. RNAcentral also lists the same sequence under 2 other names.